RNAcentral lists this ribosomal RNA (517 nucleotides) under uncultured bacterium. RNAcentral's name for it is "bacterial SSU rRNA". It matches the Rfam family "Bacterial small subunit ribosomal RNA", at positions 73 to 557 of the family's 1533-position model. The record is from RNAcentral.
GAUGGGUAACUUGAUCAAGGUUAGUGGCGGAAGGGUCAGUAAUGCAUGGGCAACGUACCCCGGGCACGGGAAUAGCGGCGGACUUCGGUCCUUUGCGAAAGUGCCGGUAAUACCCGAUGACAUUCACGAGUCGCAUGGCUUGUGGAUCAAUGGGUGGGGACCUUCGGGCCUACCGGCCUGGGAGCGGCCCAUGUCCUAUCAGCUUGUUGGUGAGGUAAUGGCUCACCAAGGCGACGACGGGUAGCGGGUGUGAGAGCAUGACCCGCGACAUCGGGACUGAGACACUGCCCGGACACCUACGGGUGGCUGCAGCAACGAAUAUUGGACAAUGGACGCAAGUCUGAUCCAGCGACGCCGCGUGGAGGAGAAGCCCUUCGGGGUGUAAACUCCAAUAGCAGACUAGGAAGCAAUCCCGCUCAAUAGGCGGGUGCGUUGACCCGUCUGUGAAAGGGCCGGCUAACUCCGUGCCAGCAGCCGCGGUAAGACGGAGGGCCCUAGCGUUGUUCGGAAUCAUUGG